GAUGAACGCUGGCGGCGUGCCUAAUACAUGCAAGUCGAGCGAACGGACGAGAAGCUUGCUUCUCUGCUGUUAGCGGCGGAUGGGUGAUUAACACGUGGAUAACCUACCUAUAAGACUGGCAUAACUUCGGGAAACCGGAUCUAACACCGGAUAAUAUUUUGAACCGCAUGGUUCAAAAGUAAAAGACGGUCUUGCUGUCACUCAUAGAUGGAUCCGCGCUGCAUUAGCUAGUUGGUAAGGUAACGGCUUACCAAGGCAAUGAUGCAUAGCCGACCUGAGAGGGUGAUCGGCCACAGUGGAACUGAGACGCGGUCCAGACUCCUCCGGGGGGCAGCAGUCGGGAAUCUUCCGCAAUGGGCGAAAGCCUGAAGGAGCAACGCCGCGUGGGUGAUGAAGGUGUUCGGAUCGUAAAACCCUGUUAUUAGGGGAGAACAUAUAUGUAGGUAAAGGUGGACAUCUUGACGGUACCUAAUCAGAAAGCCACGGCUAACUACGUG
RNAcentral lists this ribosomal RNA (497 nucleotides) under uncultured bacterium. Its description in RNAcentral is "partial 16S ribosomal RNA". It matches the Rfam family "Bacterial small subunit ribosomal RNA", at positions 28 to 507 of the family's 1533-position model. The record is from RNAcentral.